AUUCUCCCACUUCCCUUUUCAAACCCUUUUCUUUCUCACAUUUCUCUUCCAAACCCUUGCCAUGCGUCCAUCGAUCGUGGGUGAAGAGGUUGUCGUGGUGUAGAUCUAGCCUCCGUGUAGGUUUGUUCGUACAUGCAUCCCAUCAAUCUCCCGGAUUUGCUGCACACCAUCAGGUCCAUUCUUGGCCCAGAUCUGCUCUGCGUCUCAUCAGUCGCCCACGUUUCAUCAGUCGCCCGGAUCCACUGUUCGCUGCCGCACCCAGUCGCCCACAUCUCAUAUGUUGUUCGCGUGUCUCUACCGUGCGUGCCAUCAGGUUCGUUCUUCGCCAGCUGCUGCCAACCCACGUCUGUCAUGGAUCUUCGUCCGUGUUGAGCUACUAUCAUUCAUGGGUGGAUCUCGUCUGUUGCAUAAAAAAAAGGAAAUAAAAAUGAGUGCAAGCCGACGAUGAAGAUAUACAUUCAUCUUUUGGAUGCAUUGCUGAGUGAAAAGAGGUUUUUAGGUAUUGCUUCAAGCAGUAGAACAACUAAUUCAAGAUAAACUAUCGGAAAGUCUAUCGUCAGAACAAUUCAUCUGGUUGUAUGCAAUUAUGACCUUUGCCACAGUAGUAAAACUUCCCCUCUGGUUAUACUGCAAAAACUCAAGAAAUGAUCUAUUGGAUGCAUUGCUGAGUGAAAACAGGCAUUGUGCAAGAAUAAUCGUGAUGAUGCUGCACACAAGCUGUUUGUCGAAUUGUCAAGUAAGGGUUGUUCACCUGACGUGGUUAGCUAUACGACUAUGGUGUCUUUACUGUGUGAAGCAGGAACUGAGUCCAUGAAUCUAGAGGUAUAAGAUUGAAUGCCCAUGUGACAACUUUUGAGAUUUGAAGUCAAGUUCAAGGUUGUCACACCCAGCCCGAGCCUGCACCCCUGAGCCCAAGGAGAGGCAUGAUAUUAACUAAUGCUACUUUGGUUAACUUACUAGUUUCCUUUAAUAACCUUUCUUAUCACAACAGUGGG
Molecule: non-coding RNA, 995 nt
Organism: Benincasa hispida (wax gourd)
Lineage: Eukaryota; Viridiplantae; Streptophyta; Magnoliopsida; Cucurbitales; Cucurbitaceae
Source: RefSeq, a predicted model, not a curated record